UACGAAGGGGGCUAGCGUUGCUCGGAAUUACUGGGCGUAAAGGGCGCGUAGGCGGACAGUUUAGUCAGAGGUGAAAGCCCAGGGCUCAACCCUGGAAUUGCCUUUGAUACUGGCUGUCUUGAGUACGGGAGAGGUGUGUGGAACUCCGAGUGUAGAGGUGAAAUUCGUAGAUAUUCGCAAGAACACCAGUGGCGAAGGCGGCUCACUGGCCCGAUACUGACGCUGAGGUGCGAAAGCGUGGGGAGCAAACAGG
This 253-nucleotide ribosomal RNA is filed under the name uncultured bacterium. Its description in RNAcentral is "partial 16S ribosomal RNA". It matches the Rfam family "Bacterial small subunit ribosomal RNA", at positions 524 to 776 of the family's 1533-position model. The record is from RNAcentral.